UCAAGAGAUUGUAAUGUUUAUUCUCUGAUACAGUUUCCAUUUACAUUACUUAUGUCAGGAGGCAAAAUGUUUGUACUUUUUCUUGAUGAGAUUCUGUUGCAAUCAUCUAAAUCUAUAUUGGUGUUUAGAAGGAAAUAUGUAUAUAUUCCAUAGAAUUCUUACAGACGACCAUGAAACGAAAAGAAAAUUUCCAUUGGCUUUGAACUGGAAUCAUGGCGUCUGCUCAAAUUACAUGUAGCUUCAAAAAGUGUCUUCCAAAAAAAAAAAAUAAUUAAAAA
This is a non-coding RNA of Biomphalaria pfeifferi, 278 nucleotides long. The record is from the annotation of a GenBank genome assembly. NCBI's taxonomy places the organism in Eukaryota, Metazoa, Mollusca, Gastropoda, Planorbidae.